Molecule: long non-coding RNA, 2745 nt
Organism: Rhincodon typus (whale shark)
Lineage: Eukaryota; Metazoa; Chordata; Chondrichthyes; Orectolobiformes; Rhincodontidae
Exons: 2
Source: RefSeq, a predicted model, not a curated record
AGUUGGAAAUUUACAUCUCACAAGGGUCACAUUCUACUGAGGAAGAUAUUAACAAGCAGAUCAAUGAUAAGGAGCGAGUGGCAGCAGCGAUGGAGAAUCCAAAUUUACGAGAGAUUGUGGAACAGUGUGUUAUAGAGCCGGAUGACUGAACACUUACCAGCCACAUGGAAAUAUGGAAAAACAACUCUUGCUCACAACCUGUUGUUUGCAAAGUCUGCCAAAUGAGGAUUGUCUCUUUACACAUCUUACAAACUUUUUUUCAAAAAACUUCUUUUUACCUGCCUACUAAUUAAGAGAAUUCUGAUAUAAUUGUUCAAUUUCAGAUUGAGAAUAUAAUCCCAAACAUGAGGAUUCUCUGAAAUACUUGAGGCUCGAAGUUAGUGCAGUAAUUGAAAGUGCAGUCAUCAAAGUAUUACCCUAGUGCAAAUUGUCAAGGAGCAUUUAAUGUUUCAGUUCUAUUCAGCCAUUAAAAUAAGAAUUUUAAAGAACAAAAUUGAGGCAACACUAAUGGGUUGCAGCUACUGAUUCUGAUUGUGGUGAUCUCAGCAUGUUGGAAAAGGAAUGUUUUGUUCUGACACAUCUAUCUCAUUUCCAAGGACAAAGGAAAAUCAUUUAUCCUGGUCUUGUACAUUAAUAAUGAGGUAAUGCAGUGUUGCACAAAAAGAUUCAAUUCAAAUUUUAUGUCCAUCUUUAUACUGCUCAGUGCGUGUGACAGAGAUUUCUAAAGACUAAAAGGUGGAAAAUAGUGAAAAGCAAAACCAAUAUUUGAUGAUUUUGCCUGAGCUAUAAAAAGCUGUUUUAUUGCUAAGAUUUUUAAUGAGUAGUCCACUUUCAAUGUUAAUUAUCUGUUGCUUCCCAAAAUAACCACAACACAGACCUGUCACUGACUCCAUUUAGUUGCUGAAGUUUCAUGACAUGAGCUCUGUUGCGUGUAAUUUAACUCAUCUAAAUCUGCCAGACAGCUCUCAAACCAUAAGUAGCAACCUGAGAGGAGCCUGCAUUCCUACACGUAUCUACAAAGUUGUUGCAGGACUCCAAGGAUUUCUGUUCUCCAUUGUUAUGUGUGAAUAACGAAAGGGAACCGGAGACAAGGUUUUGUUUUCAGACAUUUUUAGGUUCUAAAUUUGGAAAGUGCCUAAGGUCUGCUUUUUUGUUUGGGAGGAAGCCAGUAGGAAAAGGAAGAUGUGGGGUGAAUUCUAACUGGUCAUCCACGAACCCCUUCAUCCAUGCCCCCUAAAAAUGCCUCUUCAUUCAGUCUCCCACAUUCCAGAUGUAGAUAUUCCUGGAAAACAACCUCUGAACACUCAAAGGGAGAUUCUGAGGUGCUGGGAAGAUUUUAAACAAUCAAAAGCGAUGUUGAAUUUCACAGCCUGCAAACCAGAUCAUUAACGUAAGCAACAACAAAACUAUAAAAAUAAGCGUGAGCAAAAUACAAAGAUUUAUGCCAAAUGAUGCUGUCAGUGUGUAUUGGAGGGCAGGCAUCAUUGAGUCCCGGAGCCCACAAUUAUGUUUUAUUUCUGGUAAAUAAAUAGCCCAUUCACUGCCACAAUUCUAUAUCAUUAUGUUAUGUGAGAGGCUUCAGCAGCCUAUCCACAUAUCCCUGUAUUCUGCUCUCCCUCUUCAACUAACAUCGAUGUUUUUAUAGAACCUGGCUGCUGCAAUAGAUAAAUACAGCAGCUAAGAUUUUAAUUGCCCAGAUCCCCUUUUCCAAUGUUAGGUGGUUUACUCUCAAGCUAAACUCCUGCAGGGGACCGGUUCCUCAGAUUCUUAUAGCCCUCCACUACACUACCCAUUUUCCAGGUAUAAAAGCAAUAAGUGUUAGCAGGCUGCACAGCGGUGAGUGGCGUCACUGCUGAGCCAGAUCCUGUCCUUGGCCAAUGUUCACAGAAGUGCACACUUUUGCAACACAGUCACUGGAUGGUGACCAAGCGAGAAUGGAAAUAAGUCCUAUUCCUCUGCCACUACCACCAACAUUGCCAGCCCUUUGCCUUCGAGGGCACUCAUACCAGCAUCAGUCCCUAAUCAAUACCCUGGCUAUACAAACUAGGGCACCUGGAAACUUUCAGAAUCACAUAUACCAAGUGAAUCAUAAAUUGCAGCUAUGAGUCAUGUUUGAACCCAAUUUAAAAAAAACUGUCCCCUGUUGGGCCAAUCUGUUGGCUGUUUGUACUUACAUUAAUAGCACCAUGAUGAAUUCCUCUAACCAUGAUGGAGCUUCCUAUCAUUCCAUUUACUGGUCUUAAAACCUUGCACCGGCUUUUAUUAGUCAGAAGAUUAUUUGGGGAAUGAAGAGUGCAUCUGGUACACGAUCCUGGUUAUAAACUUGGACAGUCUACUGCUUGGUGGGUACUGUUGGCUUGGAAGUAAAUGUGAGUUUACUGAGACAGUGUGUUUCAGUAAUUUAAAAAUGAAUUGUGCAAGUUUCUGAGGGUCAAAACCUUUCUACAGUUUGUCUCCAAGAGUGAAUAUUUUGAUUUGAGACUCUGCAAUGUCUCGCAAAACAUCUUGAACAUUUCUGCACCUUUUACAAUUGACUAGACCAGGACUGCCACUUAACAUAAACAGCUUGGAGGAACGAACAUUUCUGAGCAGAUCUGACCAAUGAAAUCAUUUGCUUAAUUCAUCUGUCUUUUGUAAGAUUUUCAGAUCUAAUCAAACCCUUCAGCCUCUGCACUGAGUGAAUACAGAGUUGUGUCAGGACUGUGUGCCCUGUUGUAUAUAUAAAAAUAAAUGCAAAAUCCUGCA